GCCGAGGUUCUAGAGCUUGGUACUAGGCAAGCCUGGAGAGCUUGUGGCGCUAACGCGCCUCGUGGGUUCAAAUCCCACCCUCGGCG
This 86-nucleotide transfer RNA is filed under the name Thermoproteota archaeon. RNAcentral's name for it is "tRNA-Ser". It matches the Rfam family "tRNA". From Rfam's summary of the family: Transfer RNA (tRNA) molecules are approximately 80 nucleotides in length. Their secondary structure includes four short double-helical elements and three loops (D, anti-codon, and T loops). The record is from RNAcentral. RNAcentral also lists the same sequence under 1 other name. Lineage: Archaea; Thermoproteati; Thermoproteota.